AGUUGAUCCUGGCUCAGGAUGAACGCUGGCGGCGUGCUUAACACAUGCAAGUCGAACGGAGUUUUAACGGAAGUUUCGGAUGGAAGUUUAGAACUUAGUGGCGGACGGGCGAGUAACGCGUGGGUAACCUGCCUCAUACAGGGGGAUAACAGUUAGAAAUGACUGCUAACACCGCAUAAUAUAGCGAAACCGCAUGAUUUUGCUAUCAAAUAUUUAUAGGUAUGAGAUGGGCCCGCGUCUGAUUAGCUAGUUGGUGGGGUAAAAGCCUACCAAGGCGACGAUCAGUAGCCGGCUUGAGAGAGUGACCGGCCACAUUGGGACUGAGACACGGCCCAAACUCCUACGGGAGGCAGCAGUGGGGAAUAUUGGACAAUGGGGGAAACCCUGAUCCAGCGACGCCCGCGUGAGUGAAGAAGUAUUUCGGCAUGUAAAGCUCUAUCAGCAGGGAAGAUAAUGACAGUACCUGACUAAGAAGCCCCGGCUAACUACGUGCCAGCCGCAGC
Molecule: ribosomal RNA, 503 nt
Filed under: uncultured bacterium
Lineage: Bacteria
Description: bacterial SSU rRNA
Rfam family: Bacterial small subunit ribosomal RNA
Source: RNAcentral